RNAcentral lists this ribosomal RNA (167 nucleotides) under Trimma sp. CBM DNA No. 2008-128. Its description in RNAcentral is "partial 12S rRNA". Lineage: Eukaryota; Metazoa; Chordata; Actinopteri; Gobiiformes; Gobiidae. The record is from RNAcentral.
CACCGCGGUUAGACGAGGGACCCAAGUUGACAGUAUACGGCGUAAAGGGUGGUUAAUAUACAGUUAAACUAAAGUCGAACCUCUUCAGCACUGUCAUAAGUUUUGGAAGAAAGGAAGCACAACAACGAAAGUGACUUUAAAAGUAUGAACCCACGAAAGCUAGGGCA